Salvia miltiorrhiza (redroot sage) is the source of this 733-nucleotide long non-coding RNA. RefSeq lists it as uncharacterized. The record is from RefSeq and is a predicted model, not a curated record. The transcript is spliced from 3 exons. NCBI's taxonomy places the organism in Eukaryota, Viridiplantae, Streptophyta, Magnoliopsida, Lamiales, Lamiaceae.
UUGGUGGCGCAUGAUUUCGAGAACUCAAAAAUUCACUCUCAAUUUAUUUUUAAUGCAAUCUGCCAGAAAUUCAAGCCCCUUUGAAUCAACUAAUUCAUUCAACAUUGUUAGGUUAUGGCAAGAACAAAAGGGAGCAAGAAUGUUGUGAAGCCUGCGGAUGGAAGAAAGUCGGAUAAGCAAAGGUUUUUUAAAGUGGAGGGCGGCUGUUGUCGCACGUCCUGGUGGAGGGUGGCGCGGUGGUUCUGAAUCGCGUAGGGGCGCGGGGUGGCGUAGGGACGGCGUGGCAGUUGCAGGUGCGGACGGCGGGAGACUGACGUGAGUUGUGGUGGUGGCGGUGCUGCUGCUCGGCGUCUGGAUCCGACGCUAUGUGCAAGAGAGACGAACAGAGGUGGCGCAUGGAUGAACGGAGACGGGAUCUGGAGUGAGGAGGCGUGGCAGAUAUGCGCAAGGGGGCGCUAACAGCGUCCGGUUGAACUGAAGUGGUGGGCGGAGCGUGGCAUCGCUACUAGAAGCAACUUGGAGACCAGGCCGCGCUCUGCAUGGCGUUCAAUUAGGGCCGAAGAUUUAUUUGCAAUUUCAGCAUAUUAUUAUAUUAUGCAUACAGUUUCACUAAAUAAUUCACAUGUUUAUACUAACUUCAUGUUGUAAUGGAUGAGUAUGAAUUUAAUGUUGAAACUGUACGAAUAAUUCAUACAUUGUUAAUGUAAAAUUCGUACUGUGUUGCAUAUUAGUU